Molecule: ribosomal RNA, 311 nt
Filed under: uncultured bacterium
Lineage: Bacteria
Description: bacterial SSU rRNA
Rfam family: Bacterial small subunit ribosomal RNA
Source: RNAcentral
AUUGAACGCUGGCGGCAUGCCUUACACAUGCAAGUCGAACGGCAGCACGGGAGCAAUCCUGGUGGCGAGUGGCGAACGGGUGAGUAAUAUAUCGGAACGUGCCCAGUCGUGGGGGAUAACGUAGCGAAAGCUACGCUAAUACCGCAUACGAUCUAUGGAUGAAAGCGGGGGAUCGCAGACCUCGCGCGAUUGGAGCGGCCGAUAUCAGAUUAGGUAGUUGGUGAGGUAAAGGCUCACCAAGCCGACGAUCUGUAGCUGGUCUGAGAGGACGACCAGCCACACUGGGACUGAGACACGGCCCAGACUCCUAC